AGGAGGCAGCAGUGGGGAAUAUUGCACAAUGGAGGAAACUCUGAUGCAGCGACGCCGCGUGAGGGAAGAAGGUCUUCGGAUUGUAAACCUCUGUCUUUGGGGACGAAACAAAUGACGGUACCCAAAGAGGAAGCCACGGCUAACUACGUGCCAGCAGCCGCGGUAAUACGUAGGUGGCAAGCGUUGUCCGGAUUUACUGGGUGUAAAGGGUGCGCAGGCGGGUUAUCAAGUUGGGUGUGAAAUCUCCGUGCUUAACGCGGAGCUUGCAUUCAAAACUGGUGAUCUUGAGUGAGGUAGAGGUAGGCGGAAUUCCCGGUGUAGCGGUGAAAUGCGUAGAGAUCGGGAGGAACACCAGUGGCGAAGGCGGCCUACUGGGCCUUUACUGACGCUGAGGCACGAAAGCAUGGGUAGCAAACAGGAUUAGAUACCCCUGUAGUCCG
This 440-nucleotide ribosomal RNA is filed under the name uncultured bacterium. RNAcentral's name for it is "bacterial SSU rRNA". It matches the Rfam family "Bacterial small subunit ribosomal RNA", at positions 343 to 797 of the family's 1533-position model. The record is from RNAcentral.